This 253-nucleotide ribosomal RNA is filed under the name uncultured bacterium. RNAcentral's name for it is "partial 16S ribosomal RNA". It matches the Rfam family "Bacterial small subunit ribosomal RNA", at positions 524 to 776 of the family's 1533-position model. The record is from RNAcentral.
UACGAAGGGGGCUAGCGUUGCUCGGAAUCACUGGGCGUAAAGGGUGCGUAGGCGGGUCUUUAAGUCAGGGGGGAAAUCCUGGAGCUCAACUCCAGAACUGCCUUUGAUACUGAAGAUCUUGAGUUCGGGAGAGGUGAGUGGAACUGCGAGUGUAGAGGUGAAAUUCGUAGAUAUUCGCAAGAACACCAGUGGCGAAGGCGGCUCACUGGCCCGAUACUGACGCUGAGGCACGAAAGCGUGGGGAGCAAACGGG